CCGGCCCGGCUGCUGCCGCCCCGGGGAGGCCCAACAGGCGUUGCUGCUUUUGAAAUUUAAAUCUCGUCUGCUGCGGCGGCGAUCGGAGAAACGAGACAGAAAGCGGAGAGGUGGCGUGGAGAAGGGAACCGGAGUCACACCGCUGAAGAUGUCUGGGGUUCGUUUGGUGUUUUAAUGUCAUGUAACUCCAGUGGUUACCGGACCAGUGGGAGCAGUGACGUCAGCACCUACAGCUCUUCAAAUAAGGGAAUUGUGCUCACAAUGCACUCUGCUAAGAGCCUAAGAAGUCCUCCAGCAGUACCAGCCUUUAUAGUCAUGCUAUUUCGGAAGUAAACAACAAUCAAGGGAAAACAACAAAUUUUAAAAAGUUACACAGGUCUUCAUUAUAUAUUAUAAUUGAAUUCCCCCGCCCACCCCCGAUCUUCGUGAGAGCAAUGCCUUAUAUUGACUGUAAAUCUAGAAUUAAAGACAUAAGCCUCCA
Molecule: long non-coding RNA, 481 nt
Organism: Trachemys scripta elegans
Lineage: Eukaryota; Metazoa; Chordata; Testudines; Emydidae
Exons: 2
Source: RefSeq, a predicted model, not a curated record